Molecule: ribosomal RNA, 253 nt
Filed under: uncultured bacterium
Lineage: Bacteria
Description: partial 16S ribosomal RNA
Rfam family: Bacterial small subunit ribosomal RNA
Source: RNAcentral
UACGUAGGGAGCAAGCGUUGUCCGGAAUCAUUGGGCGUAAAGCGCGCGUAGGUGGCCCCAUAAGUCCGCUGUGAAAGUCAAAGGCUCAACCUUUGAAAGCCGGUGGAUACUGUGGGACUAGAGUACGGAAGAGGCGAGUGGAAUUCCUGGUGUAGCGGUGGAAUGCGCAGAUAUCAGGAGGAACACCAAUAGCGAAGGCAGCUCGCUGGGACGUUACUGACACUGAGGCGCGAAAGCUAGGGGAGCAAACGGG